GAUGGGAGGGAGGAGUAACAAAAGUGAAAAUAAAAAAUUGAAAGUGAAAACAGUUUCAAAUACAUUUCAAUUUUCCGUUUUUGUUUUCACUUUUGUUACUCCUCCCCCCCAUCCUAC
RNAcentral lists this microRNA precursor (117 nucleotides) under Prunus dulcis (almond). Its description in RNAcentral is "sRNA ncRNA". The record is from RNAcentral. Lineage: Eukaryota; Viridiplantae; Streptophyta; Magnoliopsida; Rosales; Rosaceae.